AUGGCAAUAUCACGUUGAAACACCGAUUCCCGUACGAUCAUCGAAGUUAAGCAAUGUUGACCUUAGUCAGUACCUAGAAGGGUGACCGCUUGGGAAUACCAGGUUUUGUAA
This is a non-coding RNA of Acanthosepion pharaonis, 111 nucleotides long. The record is from the annotation of a GenBank genome assembly. NCBI's taxonomy places the organism in Eukaryota, Metazoa, Mollusca, Cephalopoda, Sepiida, Sepiidae.